GAUGAACGCUGGCGGCGUGCCUAAUACAUGCAAGUCGAGCGAACAGACGAGGAGCUUGCUCCUCUGACGUUAGCGGCGGACGGGUGAGUAACACGUGGAUAACCUACCUAUAAGACUGGGAUAACUUCAGGAAACCGGAGCUAAUACCGGAUAAUAUAUUGAACCGCAUGGUUCAAUAGUGAAAGACGGUUUUGCUGUCACUUAUAGAUGGAUCCGCGCCGCAUUAGCUAGUUGGUAAGGUAACGGCUUACCAAGGCAACGAUGCGUAGCCGACCUGAGAGGGUGAUCGGCCACACUGGAACUGAGACACGGUCCAGACUCCUACGGGAGGCAGCAGUAGGGAAUCUUCCGCAAUGGGCGAAAGCCUGACGGAGCCACGCCGCGUGAGUGAUGAAGGUCUUCGGAUCGUAAAACUCUGUUAUUAGGGAAGAACAAAUGUGUAAGUAACUAUGCACGUCUUGACGGUACCUAAUCAGAAAGCAACGGCUAACUACGUG
Molecule: ribosomal RNA, 497 nt
Filed under: uncultured bacterium
Lineage: Bacteria
Description: partial 16S ribosomal RNA
Rfam family: Bacterial small subunit ribosomal RNA
Source: RNAcentral